This 466-nucleotide ribosomal RNA is filed under the name uncultured bacterium. Its description in RNAcentral is "partial 16S ribosomal RNA". It matches the Rfam family "Bacterial small subunit ribosomal RNA", at positions 28 to 507 of the family's 1533-position model. The record is from RNAcentral.
GACGAACGCUGGCGGCGUGCUUAACACAUGCAAGUCGAACGGAAAGGCCCUGCUUGCAGGGUACUCGAGUGGCGAACGGGUGAGUAACACGUGGGUGAUCUGCCCUGCACUUCGGGAUAAGCUUGGGAAACUGGGUCUAAUACCGGAUAGGAGCCAUCUUUAGUGUGGUGGUUGGAAAGUUUUUUCGGUGUAGGAUGAGCUCGCGGCCCAUCAGCUUGUUGGUGGGGUAAUGGCCUACCAAGGCGGCGACGGGUAGCCGGCCUGAGAGGGUGUACGGCCACAUUGGGACUGAGAUACGGCCCAGACUCCUACGGGAGGCAGCAGUGGGGAAUAUUGCACAAUGGGCGCAAGCCUGAUGCAGCGACGCCGCGUGGGGGAUGAAGGCCUUCGGGUUGUAAACUCCUUUCGCUAGGGACGAAGCUUUGUUGUGACGGUACCUAGAUAAGAAGCACCGGCUAACUACGUG